CUUGCUUCUCUUGAGAGCGGCGGACGGGUGAGUAAUGCCUAGGAAUCUGCCUGGUAGUGGGGGAUAACGUUCGGAAACGGACGCUAAUACCGCAUACGUCCUACGGGAGAAAGCAGGGGACCUUCGGGCCUUGCGCUAUCAGAUGAGCCUAGGUCGGAUUAGCUAGUUGGUGGGGUAAUGGCUCACCAAGGCGACGAUCCGUAACUGGUCUGAGAGGAUGAUCAGUCACACUGGAACUGAGACACGGUCCAGACUCCUACGGGAGGCAGCAGUGGGGAAUAUUGGACAAUGGGCGAAAGCCUGAUCCAGCCAUGCCGCGUGUGUGAAGAAGGUCUUCGGAUUGUAAAGCACUUUAAGUUGGGAGGAAGGGUUGUAGAUUAAUACUCUGCAAUUUUGACGUUACCGACAGAAUAAGCACCGGCUAACUCUGUGCCAGCAGCCGCGGUAAUACAGAGGGUGCAAGCGUUAAUCGGAAUUACUGGGCGUAAAGCGCGCGUAGGUGGUUUGUUAAGUUGGAUGUGAAAUCCCCGGGCUCAACCUGGGAACUGCAUUCAAAACUGACUGACUAGAGUAUGGUAGAGGGUGGUGGAAUUUCCUGUGUAGCGGUGAAAUGCGUAGAUAUAGGAAGGAACACCAGUGGCGAAGGCGACCACCUGGACUAAUACUGACACUGAGGUGCGAAAGCGUGGGGGAGCAAACAGGAUUAGAUACCCU
Molecule: ribosomal RNA, 714 nt
Filed under: uncultured bacterium
Lineage: Bacteria
Description: bacterial SSU rRNA
Rfam family: Bacterial small subunit ribosomal RNA
Source: RNAcentral